Non-coding RNA from Gasterosteus aculeatus aculeatus (three-spined stickleback), 418 nucleotides. NCBI's taxonomy places the organism in Eukaryota, Metazoa, Chordata, Actinopteri, Perciformes, Gasterosteidae. The record is from RefSeq and is a predicted model, not a curated record.
AACUGCUUGUCAGGGCCAGAGAGGAGGAAGCAGAUAGCUGUGAACAUGGCCGUAAAACACCAAGUGAAUACCAGGAGGCCGCAGAGGAGCUGUAUAUUACUUCAGGACUCCUGACUAUCAGAAUACACGUGCAGAGGACCCAUCCAAACAACGACAAAGAAGAAGAGGUUGCUGAUGGAGGAUGUCAUCACAAUAGACAUUGUAUCCUGGUGAAGAAGACUCCAGACCGCUAUGCAGACUACAUUCUCCCGAGAGCUGCGGAGACAAGGAGGCAAGAAGAACUGGGGACGAUGACGCAUCGACUCCUGAAGAUCCAACUGGCAGCAGCAGAUGCAGAAGCAACGAAAAAACAGAGAGUCAGGAAACAACUGUCGGUGAGAGAUGAACAACCUCAAUACCCUGUUCCUCCAGAAGCCAC